GCUAGAGUUAGCAACCAAUGUGACAUAAAGAACACUAGAGUUAGUGUGUGGCAAUAAAAGAACAAGUGUGAUAUCAAGAAUGACAAUUACUAAAGUAAUUGAUAAUUGUGGUAUAAAGAAUAAUGAUUGCUAGAGUUAGCAACUAAUGUGAUGUAAAGAACACUAGAGUUAGUGUAAAACCAUGAUCCAACUACAUAUCCUUAGAGUUAAGGAUUGAUCAUACUUGCUAUGAGUUCCGUGCUCGAGGGCGGUCGCUCCCCCUCGAGCGAUGCGCUCCGGAGUUUGGCAUCCGGGUUGGAGUAGACCCGUAAGGACGGUCCUAGCUGGUGAGUUCCUGCGAUGAUGGACUUAAUGUGAAGCAAGUUAAUGUGGCGAAACCCCCGGGUUAGCCGUGAGAUUAAAGAACAAAGAACAAAAAGGAAUCAUGAAUUGGAAAGUGGAUCUUGUAUUCAUUAUGAAUUGACUCAAGACGGAGUCGAGUGGCAUAGUUGGCUAAAGUAAAGGUGACAAUUGAGAAAGAAUGACAAUUGAGAAACGUUUGUUAAUGUUAUAAAGAAUGGCAAAAGUGUAUAAUGCGCCUAAGGUGCGAGUGCCCUUAAUAAAGAAUAAAGAAUAAAGAAUAAAGAAUAAAGAAUAAAGAAUAAAGAGUAAAGAAUGGCUAAUGAUAAAGAAUAGCAAAUUCUAAAGAAAGUCUAAUGGUAAAGAAUAACUAAGAGUUGCAUAAUUUGCAUAUUUGUGAGGCAUGAACAUGUAUUGCAUGAUGUUAUAUGUAUAUAUAUCUGUUGGACUAACAUGUUGCAGUGCCUCCUUUGGACCUGGUGGGUUGAGCUUUUCACUUGGGUGGCUGUACCCACUGACGACUAUGGACAAUAGUCUCACCCCCGUGUUGUUGUUUUUGGGGGUACAGGUUCACACGCGAGCGGCGCGGCGGCGCGAGGAAAGGGCGUAGCUCCGUAGUUAGCGCCCUACCACAGAGACCAGAUAGCAGCACCCUGAGUCGGCUUCUUAGGGGUAUAAGAAAAGAAAAGAAAAGAAUUGAUGUUGUAAUAUUAUGUUUAGAAAUCGAUUGUAUAUUUGGAAGUUGAGAAUCAAUGUAAUGAAAAAUGCGAUGUAAAAUGAUGAGAUGAAUGAUUGUAAUAACAUAGGAUGUGUUAUGUUGUUUGAUACCUUCCUUAUGCAAUCGUUGUUGAAAAAUUGUUCCUGUUUGGAACCUCUUGUACUUGGAUUGAUUGCGACGCCUUGAACGUACAGGGGAGACUCUGUCCGCGUGUAGGGAAAACCCUGUCCGUUCGGCGGUCUGUUGGCGUGCCCGAAUCCGACCAAAGAGGCGGGCUCGGGGCGUGACAGAUAAGAUGGUAUCAGAGCAUAAAGUAGAGAAUGGGAAAGUGGUUUAGAUGAACCUAGGAGACCCUAGGAUAGUAAACCAUAGGAGAUUAAGGCUCGUGAGAGACGAGGACUUGUGGCUUUGGCGAAAGGUUAAGGGAUUGGGUUGUGUUGUAAACCUCUAAAAAGGAGAUUAGAGGUGGAUUCAAGGUGUGGUCUACUCUCAACCGAGGGUGUUCAUGUUGGACGCGUACAACAUGAAACCGAGUGAUGAGAAUAGAUGACCUUGUAUGACUUUCGCCUGAUUUGAGUUGAUGUCAGUUGUCUCGUACUCGACCUAGAAGGUUGAGAGUUAGUUGAGUUGUUAUGUUCUAGGUAACGAUGGCACUGCGUAGGCGAUCUUCGUUUAGAUCGACGCGGGGUGGGACAAGUGAUGUCCCAGAGCAAUCCAAGGCGAGCGGAGAUUUGGAACUUCGCGAACAGUUGGCCACACUUGUGGGUGUGGUGAGGCAACGAGCAGAUGUGGUGCAGCGGCAGCAGGAGGCUGUUAUGCACCAGGAGGAGCGAAUUAAGAGACUCCUGAAAAGUUGUAGGUGUAAUAUACCGAAACUUCGGUAAGCGAACAUCGAACCUUGGUCAAAUUAACCAAAGAGCGAGGUUGGUACACUUCGGAAAGGCCGAAGGCAUCAAAUAAUGCAAAAGUGCGUUACUGGGGAUCUUCGAGAGCUUUGGGAAUCAAAAUCUGCAAAUUGCAGGUUUUCUGCUCUCGGGGACCGGUCUCUGGUGGGAGAGACCGGUCCCCGCACGCGCAGACAGCGAAAGGGAGGAAAAAAAAAAAAAGGCUAAGUCCCCGGUGGACAGCUCUCGGGAACCGGUCCCUGCAGGGAGAGACCGGUCCCGAAGAGACCGGUCCCAUCGGGGGAGACCGGAUGCAUCGUGCGUGAGCCCUGCUGACCGCGGGGAGAGCUCUCGGAGACCGGUCCCUCGUCGGGGAGACCGGUCCCCGAACCUGAGAGUGGCCCAGUCAGGGCAGUGUAAAAGAGUAAAAGUUGAGAGGCUUGUUUGCACUUAUGCAACAUGUGGGGCUAUGUGAGGAGUAUGAGAGCUCUUUUCUCUCAUUUCUCAUCCACACACCCUCUCAUAUCUCUCUUUCUCUCUCUCUAGAAGACAAGAAGAGGAAGAAGAAAGGAAGGAAAAAGAAAGAGAAAGAGCGGGCUUUGGCAGCCCUCAUGACCUUCAUAAAGUUUGAUCCACCUACCUUCGAUGGAGAGAAUGUCGAUUCGUGGAUUGUGGAUACGUGGAUUGACUCCGUGGAAACGCUCUUCGAGGAGCUGUCUACCUUGGAGCGGGACAAGGUACCCCUAGCCGUGUAUUGUUUGAAACAGUCGGCUAAGGCGUGGUGGAAAGGCAUUCGACGGAACCGAUCGCCUAGUAUUCCUCCAUGGCAUGGGAUGAGUUUUGGGGAUUGGUAUCUUCUACUUACUUCCCCCGACAGUGAAAAGAGAAAGCUUCAGGACAAGUUCAGGAAGCUGCGGCAAGGAGACCGCUCAGUUAGAGAAUACGAACGGGAAUUCUCCCUAUCAUGAACUGUAUCCGAGAUAUGGAGCCUGCUGCUGACGACGUCAUGGCGGGUAUGAGCUGUUAAUGCAGUUAUGUGUUUCUGCAUAAUGUAGAGUUGGUGCAUUGCAUGCAUUGAGCAUGUAAUUAAUUACUACUAUUUAUGUAGUAGCAUAGUAGGGUCCAAGUGAGCGGGUAAAUGUAAACACCCGGGCACGCUUAUGUGGUGAAAGCGUUGCACCUGCCGGUGCAGGUAGAGAACUGGAUGGUACUAGCGAGUUGCUAGUGGUGGUCUAAUGAUGAGACUUGUAGUAGAGGUGGAAAUGACGAACCAACUCGCAGAGCAAUCUAUGUAAUUGAUUGCGAGAGUUGUGUCAUGACACUUGUGGACACUCGAAUGGUUUGAGUGUUCUAGAUGUUGCUCCGGUAGAGCGAUUGGCUGCCAAAUACGGGCGCGUUGGCCUAGUAGUACCUCGAAUUGAGGUGGGUGAGUCGUGCUCGUGUGGCCGGUGUGCAUAGGCAAGAGUUGCCUAAUGCUGGACAUAGUGUGGAGCGCUUUAGAGGCGUGCGAUACACGAGUAUAGUUACUCGUGGAGUGCGGAUUUAGUUCAGCCGGAUGAGUGUGUUGGCAGUAGCACCUGAGCAUUGCUAGGUGUGAAGCGUGCCACGGAUCACUCGUGGGGCUGGUGGCUCGCACUAGGUGCAUAGGAGCCGAUAGUGGUACGUAUUGUGCUAUAGAGCGUGUAGUGCGAUUGAUAGUAUACUGAGAGUGCGAGUGUGACCCAACCCGGGAAUCUGUAACGGUUUGGGAUCUUAGUUGCUCCUGGUUGGAGUGUGUGCGAAUUCCCAAGUGAGAAUUUCGCCCCAAUGAUGAUUGGGUCUGCAUUGCGAGCGAGAGACGCUGCGUAUUGAGAAAGGUUUAGGUGGUAGGCCUACAUAGUAUUGGUGGCCUUUGGACCACCAGUGGAAACCGAGGAAAGCGAUUUGGCGGAUAGACUUAUCGAGAGGUUUGACUCGAAUUCACGAACAAAGUGUUCUUGUGAGCUCUUUGCAGAAAUGGUUUGACGUUGACCAUGGCAUAUGGUAUUGAAAAAUGAAGUGCUCUUGGAGAGACCUUGAGCUUAUGGCAAGCCACGUGGAAUUUGAGAACUGGAAGUGGGGAUGUGCCGAAGUGGGCCAUCUCACUUAGAGCAAAAAGUCGGGGCGGAAUUAGAGCACUCGCGGUGAAGCGAUGCACUAGUGAUGUUGCUUUUAAGCAAUGUUGGAGAUAGAAUCGGAGUGUAUUCCCUGAGGGGAAAGUAAAUGCGAAGAAGAGUUCUUGUAUGCCAAAUGACAAGUGGUAUUGGACCGCGUGAAGUCGUUGAGUUUCGACUUGCGCCGCCACCAAGAGUGAUGGAUACCCUAAUGCACUUUGUGAGAUGCGCCUUGCAAAUUUGGAUGCAUUUAGUAUCAUGAACUCCGUGGUAGUCCUCUUGGAUAGUUCCAAGGAGUGUGAAGCCAUUCCGAAGUGGAAAGCGUAUUGGUGCUCUCAAUUACUCGAGGAGCUGAAUCGAGUUGUGGUUUGAAUUUCGCGGACGAAAUUCUUUUAAGGGGUGGAGAAUGUAAUAUACCGAACUUCUAAAUUCACGAAGUUACGAUGUAAGUUAGCUUAGAAAGCCAUUGGAAUCGUCCCGGCGAAGUUCGGGAGCAUUCGGGUGCUUCGGUGCGCAUAGGGCGCGAAAACGGAGCCGAAAGGCUAUGUUGGACCGUGAGUUAAAUCCGGCAUUAGCGUGGAUGAAAAGAUGAUGAAAACAUGUUCGAAAACAUAUUUGGAGAGUCUCGGUUCGAUUUGAAAUGAAUCAGAGGUCAAACGAGCGAAAACGAGCGAAAACGGAGCUAAAAUGGUGAAAAAGCUGAAAAUUUGGCUAAGUCCUUGAAGGCUGAUUUCUGGACCUUCGGGGACCGGUCUCUCAGUCAAGGACCGGUCUCUCAGGGACCGGUCUCUCAUCGCAAGGACCGGUCCCCGAAGCCCGAAAAUGCCCAGUUCGGGCUGUUGUGAGAAAUGCAUUGUUGAGGGUGUUUUCAGCAAUUUUGCACUAAUAGAGGCUAUUAGAUGGUGGAAUGAGAUCUUUCUCUCAUUUCUCUCACUCUCCCACACCAAAACCUCUCCCUCUCUCUCUCUAGAAAGAAAAGAAGGAGAAGAAGAGGGGAAAGAAAGGGAAGAAGAAGAUGAAGGAGAAGAGGCCAAGAAGAUAGAGUUUCAUCUUCAUCUCCUUCCUUGAGCCAUAGGAGCAAGCUUAGAGAGGUAAGCCUUAUGCUCUCUAAUGGUAGACUUCUAGAACUUGGUUUAUAUGUUCUAGAAUUGGAUUUUAUGUACUCCUAGCAUGUCAAAUAGAUGAUAAAUGCUUGGAUCAUGAGAUGAAAUGGUAGAUUUUGCAAUAGUUGCAUAUUAGGGCUCCAAAAAGGGGGUUUUUGUAGAUAGUUGAGUUUGAUCUCAAUUGACCCUCUAUAAACCUAAUUGGGGGUAUAACGAACGCGUUGGUGCGCUCGGUUCGACAAUCCGACGAGUGUACGCAAAGUUAUUGACGAAACAAUCUGUUUUGGUACAGAUAACUGCAGCACGCGGGAUAAGCCUCCAAAAAUCAUGAGAAUGGAUCGGGAGCAUCGUGGUGUCGGGGAAUAAACUCCCGAACAGACGGAUCGCGAAUUGGUGGCCGUUCGGGUGGUCGCACAAGAGUUCGGGCCAGACCGGGUUACGGAUGCCGCGGGAGGCCGAUUGCAAGUGUCGACAAGCAAUCGGAAAGCGUUUUGAGGUGGGUUGUGCUCACCGAAGCGAUUAGGUCGCUUUCCAUGCCAAAGUGUAGUAUGUUUACUAUUGAUGCAUGAUAAAGUAUGCUAUUUGAGAAUGCAUGAUAAAGUAUGCUAUUUAAGAAUGCAUGAUAAAGAUAGAUGCCAAAUGAAUGCAUGAGUUGAUGUUAAUUUACAUGUGCAUAUUAUAGAAAUGCUAAAUAGAUGUCAAAUGAAAGUAUGAGAUUUAUACUAACCGAGAAUGCAUGUAGUAAAUGUUAACGAAUGCAUAAAAUGCUAAGUAAUGACUACCAAUGGAUGACAAAAUAUAUGCAUGUUGAACAUAGAUCGAGUGGCAUUUGGAAAUGGUAAAGUGGACACUAGAGUUAGUGUGGGACAUCAAAGAAUAAAUGUGAUGUAAAGAAUAAUGAUAAUGGCUAAAGAUAAUGUAAAACAAUGUGAUGAUAAUAAUGUAAUGUUGCAUGAUGUGAGUACACGUGCUUAUUAGAAUGACUAAGAAUCUAAAUAAUCUAUAUGUAUGCAUGAGAUGUAAUGUGAGAACCUAAUGAUAAUGGCUUGAGACAAGGCAAAGCAAUGUGAUGUAAAGAAUAAUGAUAAUGGCUAGAGGCGAUGUAAAGUAAUGUGGCAUAAAGAACAAGCAAAGUGUAAAGAACAAUGAUAAUGGCUAGAGUUAGCAACCAAUGUGACAUAAAGAACACUAGAGUUAGUGUGUGGCAAUAAAAGAACAAGUGUGAUAUCAAGAAUGACAAUUACUAAAGUAAUUGAUAAUUGUGGUAUAAAGAAUAAUGAUUGCUAGAGUUAGCAACUAAUGUGAUGUAAAGAACACUAGAGUUAGUGUAAAACCAUGAUCCAACUACAUAUCCUUAGAGUUAAGGAUUGAUCAUACUUGCUAUGAGUUCCGUGCUCGAGGGCGGUCGCUCCCCCUCGGGCGAUGCGCUCCGGAGUUUGGCAUCCGGGUUGGAGUAGACCCGUAAGGACGGUCCUAGCUGGUGAGUUCCUGUGAUGAUGGACUUAAUGUGAAGCAAGUUAAUGUGGCGAAACCCCCGGGUUAGCCGUGAGAUUAAAGAACAAAGAACAAAAA
RNAcentral lists this long non-coding RNA (6748 nucleotides) under Ananas comosus (pineapple). RNAcentral describes it as "long non-coding RNA (ACOM_LNC009016)". The record is from RNAcentral. Lineage: Eukaryota; Viridiplantae; Streptophyta; Magnoliopsida; Poales; Bromeliaceae.